CUCCUACGGGACGCAGCAGUGGGGGAUAUUGCACAAUGGGGGGAACCCUGAUGCAGCGACGCCGCGUGGGUGAAGGAGCGUUUCGGCGCGUAAAGCCCUAUCGGCAGGGAAGAAGAUGACGGUACCUGACCAAAAAGCCCCGGCUAACUACGUGCCAGCAGCCGCGGUAAUACGUAGGGGGCAAGCGUUAUCCGGAUUUACUGGGUGUAAAGGGAGCGUAGACGGCGAUGCAAGUCUGAAGUGAAAGGCGGGGGCCCAACCCCCGGCCUGCUUUGGA
This 277-nucleotide ribosomal RNA is filed under the name uncultured bacterium. RNAcentral describes it as "partial 16S ribosomal RNA". It matches the Rfam family "Bacterial small subunit ribosomal RNA", at positions 336 to 630 of the family's 1533-position model. The record is from RNAcentral.